RNAcentral lists this long non-coding RNA (8286 nucleotides) under Salvia miltiorrhiza (redroot sage). Its description in RNAcentral is "long non-coding RNA (SMIL_LNC008237)". Lineage: Eukaryota; Viridiplantae; Streptophyta; Magnoliopsida; Lamiales; Lamiaceae. The record is from RNAcentral.
AGCAGUCAAGCGCGUAUAUAAAUAUAAUAUCUUAAAUCCAAAAAGAAUUAUACAGAGCGAAUCAAUGAUAACCAAACUCUAACAAUAUGAAAACUGAGCUGAAUUCUAUACUCAUACAUAUAAACAGAGAUAAAUAAUCCAAGUCUACAACAAUGGAAUCAACAAAUAAUACAAAAGAAAAAUAUCGAGACAAGCCCAAAUUAAUCAAAAUAUGAAGUCCAAAAACAUAAUGAUCACAAUAUAACUAAUUGCAUCUCAAAUUCUCCACCUGCCUGUUACCCAAAUUGACAGUCCAAUCACAAUUCAUUUGACCAGAUUUCUUCUUCUUGAUGAUCUUCAUCAAAUGCACCUUUCCAUGCAAUUUAGCUUGGCUGCUGAGCCUCAAAAUCCCAGAAUUGAUGUCAUUUCCCAAGUUAGUAUCAGAUAGUGUGUCUGUGCUAACAUCCACAUUGAUGUUGAACCUCUGGGUUUUUCUGGCCUUGGUGCGGCCCCGGGGAAUUAGAGCUUCCCCGAGUGGCACCCCAUUGUAGAAUACGACAAGCGUGGCGUUGUCAUACUUGAAAUGCCCAAAGUUGGUGUUUUUGAUGGUGAGUUGAGCAGCAGCUCAUGUUGAUGGAAGUUGCGGUGUUGUUGUUGGGUGAAGCUUUCGACAACCAUGGCGUUGAACCUCACCUUAGGGCUUUUGAUCUUCAUAACUGUGAGGGCAAACACUAAUAUGAUAGCCGUUUGGAACACCAAGAAUGCUGCAACGUAUGCUAAGCAUUUCUUGCGGCUUCUUCCUUCUCCCUUUGACAUUGUUUUUGUUGAGAAAGAAGAGUGUUUUUUUUUUUUGAUGAAUGGGACGUGAAGGUAUUUGAGAGGUGGAAGCUCAAGUAGGAAAUUGGAUGUCUAGAAUUGAGAAAAGAGGAGUGUAUAUAUAGGAAGAGGAAAUAAGUAGUUGAAGUAGAUGGUUGGCUCAAAAGUCAAACUAAUGUUGCUAUACUCGGACAAAUGCGCGUUUCAAAAAGGACCUUGACUUAAUUAAAAUGGAGUAUGUCAUGUGUACUUAAUUAACCGAUAACGAAAUGCAGCUUAAUUGAUAAGAUGCUUCUGCUUUUAUCAAUAGAUUAAGAGUUCGAGUCACCGAAACAUGGAAAACCAUUAUUAGUUCUCUUUAAAAACGAAAAAAAAAUUAACAAGAUUCUUUAAAACCAAAUAUUUUUUUAUUUGUGUUUUGCUACAAGUUUUUUUAUUUAAUUAAUUUAAAAUAUUAUAACACGGUGAAGUGUUUGUCAUUAGAGCAUCAUUCUUUUCAACUAAUUUCUUCCAUUAAUGAACUCUGAGAGAGAACGUGAGUUAGAGAGACAUAAUUGAAUUAGAGAGAGAAAGAAUCGUAUACUAAUGAUAUAGUAUGAAUUAAGAAGGUCAUCACAUCUUAGAAAAAAACAAAAUAUAGUAGGGAUUUUAAAUUGUAAAAUAUUCUUACGUACACUGAAAAAAUUUUAAUAGAGAAUGUUAUAUAUUGAGAUAAUGGAUAAUGAAUCUGAAACAUGCAAAUAAGUCAAUAAUUUCAGUGAAUAAAUCAACGUUCCGUACGUAGGAACAGUCAUUUUCGUUUGAGUUCGAAUUUUGAAGGGAGCGAGUUUUUUAACAUAUCAAAUAGAUACAUCUAGUGUUCAUAAGUUUUAUUCGUUUAUUAAGAAAAUAUAUUUAUUUAUUUGUUAUUUUUCAUUCUCUCAAUGUAUAACAUUCUCCAUGGAGCCAUACCUUCUUCCACUAAUGUCAAAAUUGCACUAAAAAUUAUGUGCCUGAAUUUUUAGAUGACAAUUAAUGUCAACAUUAAUUUAGGGGUAAACCAAUCUAAUUAGUUGUUGAAUCAGAAUAUAUAGUAUAGUAAUUUGCAGAUGUACAUAAUCUUUUUGUAGUGUGCAAAGUCCAGAAUUUAGACAAAUUUCGAUAAUUUACAUGCUACUAUAUAUUCGCCCACCCCCCACCCCCAUCAGAGUUUUGUGUGAAAUGAUGAAGUUGACAAUACAGUUGGGUAUGAGGAAGGUUCCCAUGCCAGGAGUAUAAUAUUGUGAGUUUAAUAUAGUAUAGCUCGCCAUGUAAAGAAUAUCUGUCUCUUGUUCAAAACCUAAUGUUAAUUAAUUAUCAAUAUUGAAAACGUGUUUCCUAACGUUCUUCUACUCAAGUGUCUUAUGCUAAAUACGUCAUUAAUUAAUAUUUUAAUUAGUAGAAUCGUAUAGUGUGGCAUGAUGGGAUCAAAUUCUUGUUACAUAAUUAAUCGGUAUUUCAAUUAGUGUCCCAUGUUGUGUUUGUAGUUCUAUAAUAUUAUGGGAGAAAAUCUUGUUAAAAAUGUGUCAUUAAAAGUACAACUAUAAACACAAAAUGAAACAUGAGUUAAGACAAUAAUCACGAUCAGCGAGAUAAUUUAAGAGGGAAAACUUAUUAUAGUCAAAGUUCAUAAGUUUAUAAGUUUUAUUCUAAUUUACUAAGGGCUCAUUUGGUACGGACAUAUAAUAUAGGGUUAAUAGCCGAAAAAUACACGAACUAUUAUGAAAUUUGCAUAUUGCACAUCACCUUUAAAAUUAGCUCCAAAAUACAUCACCUUUUAAUUUAGUUGUGAAUUGUAUACGGAAAAAAUUCCGGCAGCUCUUAAGUUUGACCGGCGAUGACGUGCAUAGUAUUAACAUUACAUGGCAUUACUCGUGGCUUUUUUUACAAGCUGGCAAGCCACGUGGGCAAAACGACGUCGUUUUGAUAUUUUGAAGAAUUUCCUAAAAAAAAGAAGAAAUCCCGAAUCUACAACCACCGCCGUCACCGUUUCUAAAAUCCGGCGAGCCACACCGGCCUCCCCAUCCGAAAGGGUUCUCCAGUUGCCGCCUCUGUCAGCAACCCACAACCACCGCCUGGAUCUACCGCCUCCCCAGAAACCUCUUUUUCUCUACGGAUCAGCGGCGCCUCCGCCUUGACCGCCCUCCUCAUAAACCUCUACCAUCCUCCCUCCGCCGCUUCGCCCCUGCUAACCCAAUCACACUCCAAGGUUCAAAAAUCAAGAAUCCCCUAACCCUAAAUCAUCUCCUUUCAACGAUUGGGAAAGAGAAAAUCAUCAAUUAGCAGGGAAAAAAAACACUCAAAACUAAACCCAGAAAAUAGAAAAGCAAGACAACGAAAGAGAAAACAAGAAGAAAACAGAAAUGUGAUGAUGGGGAAUGGCGGCGGCGAGAAGCUCGAAAGUAGCGGACCUAAUCCGGCGUGGCGGCCUUGCCUUGCGAAGUAGCAGCUCUAAUUUGGGGAUCUAUAGUUUUGGGAAAAAAGUGGCGGCGACCCAUUUGCUGUCCUUGCCGGAGAUUGAGGCGGCACGAGUUUGGGUGGCGAAAUCGAAGCACGAAAAGGGCGGUGACAUUUGCUGUCCGGCGAUGGUGUGCAGGGUGCGGUGGGUGGGGUGGCUGGGAGUGAUAAGGGAGACGCUGGAGAUUUUGGCUGAUUUUUCCCUUUUUCCUUUUUUAUUUUAUUUUUAAAUAUAUACUUAUUCAAAAUGACGUAGUUUUGAAUGCCGGUGAGUCCACGUCUGAAAAUUGCGGGAGCCACGUCAACACCGAUCAAGGUAGUGGUCAACACGUGUGCAAUUUACAACUAAAUUAAAAUAUGAUGUAUUCUGGAGCUAAUUUUAAAGGUGGUGUGCAAUAUGCAAAUCUCGUAAUAGUUCGUGUAUUUUUCGGCUAUUAACCCUAUAAUAUAUUACUAUAAAACACACGACCCUUUAUAAAUUGAAAGCCCGAAAUAUUAUAUUGAUUUGAGGGAUUCUGUAUACCAACCUUCCUAAGUGAUAUACAUUAUACAAAUCUUAAUUAUAACUAUUACUAUUAACUUUAUAUAAUCUUAAUACAUCGUACCAAACAACAUAUUAUAUUUAUGCAUUGUACCAAACAUGAUAUUAAUCUGACAUCUAGUAAAAGAUAUUAAUAGCCUUUCAAACAAUUUAUAUAUCAACAGUUAAUCAUUUCCCAUUCUCAACUCUCACCAAUAGAACUACUCACACAUUAUAAAAACCAUAAACACAAAUUGAAAUAAACGCAUAGAUAGAAGUAAAAUGUAGAUAGAUAAAUGAUAAUAAAAUAUCCGGAACAAGAUGCCUGAGCCCUUCGUCCUUGCAAUUACAACUACUAAAAACAAUAAAGUGUUCAAAAAACUGAAGCAAAACGAAAAUAAAAUUGUUUCUGGAUGCACAACGAUAAUAUCAAAAUGAAAAGUGGGAGUAAAAAGUUCUCCAAAAGCUAUAAAGUGAUCCUUUGUCAGCCACACAUGCUGAACUUUAAACAACAGCUCGGUAGCAGUCAAACCCUAGCCGGCAGAUCAUAUCUGGCAGAUGAUUUCCUUCCAUAUUUAGUUUGAUCCUUGAUUGAUACGAUUGAUAAUGGAUCUCCAGCUGAUUAAUUUGGGGUUGAUUAUACAUUUUUUCAGAUCCUUCCAUUGUCAGAAUUCGCCAGAAUCUUCCGGGCAAUCUUCAGAGAAUCUCUUGCAUUAGGUAAACCUUCAUUCUUUAGAUCUUUCUAUACGGACGGUUGGCUGUUGUUGCUUACAGUGAUGGUCAAACUAGCUGCUUCUCUGGUUUGCCUCAUACCGGGUGGUACAUUUCGGAGUUUCUCGCACCUCAAAUGUGUAACUAGGGGUACUUCGCCUCGACUCCUUCCUAGUAAAUAUAACAUAAUACAACUAUGGGCUGGUAAAGUCCAUUCCAACCAUCUUUCUCUCGUUUGCUCUGAACUGGACCUUUCUUCCCUUCAAAUCUCGUUCUCUCCCCAAAAGAUCAAGACAGACACAAUAAAGAGAAAAAAAAUAGAGCCAAAUGACCCUAAAAUCGAAGACGCAUCAGAAUGCUCUAAAGUAAUUGUAGCAAUCCUAUAAAAAAAUUUAACUACCGAAUCAGUUAACUUCUAGAAGGACACGCAUAUAACGGUGAGUUUGGAAAGCUUUCACAUGCACCUUGUGCAUUAUAUUUUCUCUCAAAAUAAGAAAAGAAAAGAAACUAAGAUACUUAUAACCGUGUCUACAUUGGUAUUGUUGAGUCACAAACUAGAACUAACACUAAAUUAAGAUUUAAGAUUAUGAUUUAUUCUGUUCAAGAAAAAAAAAAUAAGUAUGAUUUAUUAAGUAAUUGUCCCUCGAGAAAUUGUAACUACCGAACUAGAUCGGUCAACUUCUAGAAGGACACGUAUUAUAAUUAAUGGUAACAUUUGAAAAUGCUCUAAACGGUAAAGUUUGGAAAGUUUUCACACCUUGUGCAUCAGUGAAGAUCAGUUUUUACAAAAAAAGACAGAGAGAGAGAGAGAGAGAGAUCAAUUUUCAAAUUAGGAAUUUUGGCAAAAUAGAAGUAUUUCGAAAUUACUAUUUCAAUGUUAAUUUUAAAACGUGGUUAAUUAAAUCACCAUCGUUUCAAUUUAUACAAUUUCAUCCCUCCAUUUUUUUUCCUGAUCACCGAAGUGUUUAAUUACAACUUACGUGAAUUAGUAAAUAUAACAUUGUUUUUGUGAGGCCUAAACGACAUUCUUUUGUACCAUUUAAUUAAAAAUAUCUCCAAAUUUUAAAGGGACUGUAUCCUGUAUCUGCACCCUAAUUUUCAAUAUUCAGCAAUUUUAUUACAAACGACAUCGUAACAUAAUAUUACGCAGCAAACUAAUUUACGUAAACUUCAACCUAGUAAUCCAGUGAUCGAAACAAAUUGGAAGAACGAUAUUAUAAAAAUUUAAAAUAUGAUAAUUUAAUUUAUCACACUUUAAAAAUCACAUUAAAAUUGUAAUUUCAAAAUAAUUCGUCAUUUAAUUAUGAGAGAGAGAGAGAGUCAUGGAGAUUGGGGAAAAUAUAUACUUAUUUCAAUUUUAUCUUUUUUAGGGAUAUUUCAAUUUUAUUUGAAUGAAUUGGAAGGUGGAUUUCAUUAAUAAAACUAGAACAAGAAAUAAAUUGAAUAAUGUAAAAGUAAAAGGAAAAAAAAGAAAGAAUUAAUUCUCAAAUAUGAAAAACCUAGAAUUUAUCAUUUCACCAUGGUUUAUCCUUCUUGACUUGUUCAAUUGUUUCAAUUAUCAGUCUUAUUAUGUAGUGAUGGGCCGAGACUACCCAGAUUUUUCUAUAGGCUCUCUCGCUUUCAAGGUUUAGACUCUAAACAAAAUUCCAUUAAAUGCAACCCGCUAGAUUUCUAACGAUCCAAUCCCCAGAGUUCCAGCCACGUUGCAAAAAAAUCUAAAUUAUUUGCCCAGCGAGUUUGAUAGACUUAUACAGUAUUUUCUUCUCACAUUACAAAUGUCCACUUUCUAUAUAUAAUGAAGUCUCAUUAUAUAUAUCACAUUCUUUUUUGACAAUAUAUUCUCUCUCUGUAUUUAAUAUUUAAAUAAUUUUCAUAAACCUAAUUUAUUUACUUUCUAUACAUUUCUUAAUCUCUGUGCCAAAAAAUAAUAUAAGACAUUUAUAAUGGGACGAAUGGAGUGUUAUACUUUAUUUGUUUCAUCAAUAGUAAGAUUUGAUCUGGACGAUAAUUAAAGAAAAGUGUUUAGAGUGUAAAAACUAAAUAUGAACCACAACUAAAGAUGAAAGUUUAAAGCAAAAUUUAUAAUGUAAAAAAAUAUGAACAUUGGACUAAGUCAUUAUAAAAGAAUGGACCAAAAAAAAAAUGUAUCAUUAUAUAUAUGAACGGGACUCGGGAGGAGUAUAUCACUAACAUCAACAUACCAAUUAACAUAGUGGAACAUGCAUGAAGCAAGAAAAUUUGACAAAAAAAAAAGGGAAAAUGACACUCACCAUGAUAUAUAAUUAAAUCAAUAGGGAAAAAUGAAUAAAAUCAAAUAUCAACAACUACAUAAGUAAAAAUAAAUACAAAAAUAGAGUAGUACUCCAUAUGAGAAGAAAGCAUGAGCCUCCCUCAAAAUAAAAAAUAAAAAAUAAUAAUAAUAAAUGAAACAUGAAUUUGGUUAUUGGAUGGGCUUUCUUAUUUGAAACCAUAAAAUUUGUUCGUCAAAAAAGAUACUCAUUUCUCCACGAAGAUGAUAUAUUUCUUUUCGGCACAAAAAUUAAGGAGUUAUUGUUUAGUUAUUUAAGUAUGUUUAUAAAUUUAUGAUUAAAGAGUUAUUUAGAUAGUUAAUGAUUUUAUGUCUCAUGUAUUAUAUUCUUUAUGUCUCAUUGAUAAUAAUUCAUUUGAUCUGGGCAAGAGAAUUAAGGAGGAGGUGAGUGUAAAGCAAAUAGGAAUCACAAAUAAAGGUGAAAUGUAAAAUAAAUGUUAAUUUUUGAACUAAACUAUUAUCAAAAGAAUAGACGAAAAAGAAAAGUGAGACAUUAUUAAUGAGAUAGAUGAAGCAAAUAACUACCAAUUAACAAAGUGGAACAUGCAUGAAACAAGAAAGUUUGACCAGAAAAUGACAUUCACCAUGAGAUAUAAAUCAAUAGGGAAAAAUGAAUAAAAUCAAAUCAUCAAUAACUACAGAAGUAAAAAUUACAAAAAAAAAAAAGAGUUCAACAAAUGGUUCUCUGCGACGUAGAAUAUCAUAUACAUGAUAUAUGUAUAAUUAAGAAAAGUAAUCAGUCGCACUUCAAAUUCUCCACCUGCCUGUUACCCAAAUUGACAGUCCAAUCACAAUUCAUUUGACCAGAUUUCUUCUUCUUGAUGAUCUUCAUCAAAUGCACUUUCCAUUCAAUUUAGCUUGGCUGCUGAGCCUCAAAAUCCCAGAAUUGAUGUCAUUUCCCAAGUUAGUAUCAGAUAGUGUGUCUGUGCUAACAUCCACAUUGAUGUUGAACCUCUGCGUUUUUCUGGCCUUGGUGCGCCCCCGGGGAAUUAGAGCUUCCCCGAGUGGCACCCCAUUGUAGAAUACGACAAGCGUGGCGUUGUCAUACUUGAAAUGCCCAAAGUUGGUGUUUUUGAUGGUGAGUUGAGCGAGCAGCCUCAUGUUGAUGGAAGUUGCGGUGUUGUUGUUGGAGCUGAAGCUUUCGACAACCAUGGCGUUGAACCUCACCUUAGGGCUUUUGAUCUUCAUAACUGUGAGGGCAAACACUAAUAUGAUAGCCGUUUGGAACACCAAGAAUGCUGCAACGUAUGCUAAGCAUUUCUUGCGGCUUCUUCCUUCUCCCUUUGACAUGUUUUUGUUGAGAAAGAAGAGUGUUUUUUUUUUUUUUGAUGAAUGGGACGUGAAGGUAUUUGAGAGGUGGAAGCUCAAGUAGGAAAUUGGAUGUCUAGAAUUGAGAAAAGAGGAGUGUAUAUAUAGGAAGAGGAAAUAAGUAGUUGAAGUAGAUGGUUGGCUCAAAUGUCAAACUAAUGUUGCUAUA